UACGUAGGGGGCAAGCGUUGUCCGGAAUUACUGGGCGUAAAGGGCGCGUAGGCGGCCUGUUAAGUCGAACGUGAAAUCCCCGGGCUCAACCCGAGAACUGCGUCCGAUACUGGCAGGCUUGAAUCCGGGAGAGGGAUGCGGAAUUCCAGGUGUAGCGGUGAAAUGCGUAGAUAUCUGGAGGAACACCGGUGGCGAAGGCGACAUCCUGGACUGUCAUUGACGCUGAGGCGCGAAAGCCAGGGGAGCAAACGGG
RNAcentral lists this ribosomal RNA (253 nucleotides) under uncultured bacterium. RNAcentral's name for it is "partial 16S ribosomal RNA". It matches the Rfam family "Bacterial small subunit ribosomal RNA", at positions 524 to 776 of the family's 1533-position model. The record is from RNAcentral.